AUUUAUAUAGUAUAAUUAUUAUAAUUGAUUUCCAAUCAAAAGAUCUAAAAAUUCUUUUAGUAUAAAUA
Molecule: transfer RNA, 68 nt
Filed under: Xinidium sp. XIN01
Lineage: Eukaryota; Metazoa; Arthropoda; Insecta; Coleoptera; Scarabaeidae
Description: tRNA-Gly
Source: RNAcentral